Molecule: ribosomal RNA, 447 nt
Filed under: uncultured Aurantimonas sp.
Lineage: Bacteria; Pseudomonadati; Pseudomonadota; Alphaproteobacteria; Hyphomicrobiales; Aurantimonadaceae
Description: partial 16S ribosomal RNA
Source: RNAcentral
CACGAAGUUAGCCGGGGCUUCUUCUCCGGGUACCGUCAUUAUCGUCCCCGGUGAAAGAGCUUUACAACCCUAGGGCCUUCAUCACUCACGCGGCAUGGCUGGAUCAGGCUUGCGCCCAUUGUCCAAUAUUCCCCACUGCUGCCUCCCGUAGGAGUUUGGGCCGUGUCUCAGUCCCAAUGUGGCUGAUCAUCCUCUUAGACCAGCUACCGAUCGUCGCCUUGGUAGGCCUUUACCCACAACUAGCUAAUCGGACGCGGGCUCAUCCUGAACCGAUAAAUCUUUGCCCCUCAGGGCACAUGCGGUAUUAAUUCCAGUUUCCCGGAGCUAUCCCGCAGUUCAGGGUAGAUUCCCACGCGUUACUCACCCGUCUGCCACUCCCCUUGCGGGGCGUUCGACUUGCAUGUGUUAAGCCUGCCGCCAGCGUCGUUCUGAGCCAGGAUCAACUCU